GCCAGGUUCAAUGGCACAUGCCUGUAGUCCCAGCUACUCAGGAGGAUCACUUGAACCCAGGAGUUCUGGGCCGUAGUGCCCUAUGCCAACCAAGUGUCUGCACUGACUUCAGCAUCAGUAUGUGACCUCCCAGGAGCAGGGCACCACAACGUUGCCUAAGGAGGAGUGAACCAGCCCAGGUCAGAAAUGGAGCAGGUCAUAAUUCCCAUGCUGAUCAGUAAUGGGAGCAUGCCUGUGAAUACCCACUACACUCCAGCCUGGGCAACAUAGCAAGAU
This 276-nucleotide signal recognition particle RNA is filed under the name Microcebus murinus (gray mouse lemur). RNAcentral's name for it is "Metazoan signal recognition particle RNA (ENSMICG00000038261.2)". It matches the Rfam family "Metazoan signal recognition particle RNA". Rfam says of the family: The signal recognition particle (SRP) is a universally conserved ribonucleoprotein. It is involved in the co-translational targeting of proteins to membranes. Lineage: Eukaryota; Metazoa; Chordata; Mammalia; Primates; Cheirogaleidae. The record is from Rfam by way of RNAcentral.